UACGUAGGAGGCAAGCGUUGUCCGGAAUUACUGGGCGUAAAGCGCGUGUAGGUGGUGGGACAAGUCUGCUGUGAAAGCCCCGGGCUCAACCUGGGAAUGGCCGUUGAAACUGGCGAACUGGAGUGUGGCAGAGGGGGGUGGAAUUCCGCGUGUAGCAGUGAAAUGCGUAGAGAUGCGGAGGAACACCGAUGGCGAAGGCAGCCCCCUGGGCUAACACUGACGCUCAGGCACGAAAGCGUGGGGAGCAAACAGG
RNAcentral lists this ribosomal RNA (253 nucleotides) under uncultured bacterium. RNAcentral describes it as "partial 16S ribosomal RNA". It matches the Rfam family "Bacterial small subunit ribosomal RNA", at positions 524 to 776 of the family's 1533-position model. The record is from RNAcentral.